This 460-nucleotide ribosomal RNA is filed under the name uncultured bacterium. Its description in RNAcentral is "partial 16S ribosomal RNA". It matches the Rfam family "Bacterial small subunit ribosomal RNA", at positions 338 to 795 of the family's 1533-position model. The record is from RNAcentral.
CCUACGGGUGGCAGCAGUGAGGAAUAUUGGUCAAUGGCCGCAGGGCUGAACCAGCCAAGUCGCGUGCGGGAUGACGGUCCUAUGGAUUGUAAACCUCUUUUGUCAGGGAGCAAAGGGCGCCACGUGUGGCGCUUUGCGAGUACCUGAAGAAAAAGCAUCGGCUAACUUCGUGCCAGCAGCCGCGGUAAUACGGGGGAUGCGGGCGUUAUCCGGAUUUACUUGGUGUAAAGGGAGCGUAGGCGGCGGUGCAAGCCAGAUGUGAAAGACCGGGGCUCAAACCCGGAACUGCAGUUGGAACUGUGCUGCUAGAGUGUCGGAGAGGCAGGCGGAAUUCGUGGUGUAGCGGUGAAAUGCGUAGAUAGUAUGAAGAACCCCAGUGGCGAAGGCGGCCGGCUGGGCGAUGACUGACGUUGAGGCUCGAAAGCGUGGGGAGCAAACAGGAUUAGAUACCCGUGUAGUC